Molecule: unclassified non-coding RNA, 199 nt
Filed under: fungal sp.
Lineage: Eukaryota; Fungi
Description: partial internal transcribed spacer region
Rfam family: Eukaryotic small subunit ribosomal RNA (bases 1-46)
Source: RNAcentral
AAGUCGUAACAAGGUAACCGUAGGUGAACCUGCGGUUGGAUCAUUACAAAGUUCUAGUGUAAGGGCAACCUUGCACUUUAACCCCUUGUGCAAUCGUAUUUGUUUUGGGCGUUAAAACCCAAAACACUAAACCCAGUCUUUAUAGUCUGAAUGUAUUUAAAAACAAAAACAACUUUUGACAACGGAUCUCUUGGCUCUC